RNAcentral lists this unclassified non-coding RNA (274 nucleotides) under uncultured fungus. RNAcentral describes it as "partial contains small subunit ribosomal RNA, internal transcribed spacer 1, and 5.8S ribosomal RNA". The stretch from base 1 to 73 matches the Rfam family "Eukaryotic small subunit ribosomal RNA", at positions 1759 to 1831 of the family's 1831-position model. Lineage: Eukaryota; Fungi. The record is from RNAcentral.
GCAAACUUGGUCAUUUAGAGGAAGUAAAAGUCGUAACAAGGUUUCCGUAGGUGAACCUGCGGAAGGAUCAUUCACAAUGAGUGUUCAAUGGCACUUUAAAUCCAUUACCCACCUUGUGUGCAAUGUAAGGAGGAGACAGAACGGUUAUGCGUUCUGUCACUUUCAUAUACUAUACCUAUCUUCAUUUCUCGUCUACUUUUGUAUGAGUAUAAAAAACUCUAAUACAACUUUCAACAACGGAUCUCUUGGCUCUCGCAUCGAUGAAGAACGCAGC